GUGCUUUCCAUUUUCAUAUCUGGUUGCUGAUCUUGCCAGCCUAUACGGUAUACACCCUUUCUGAUCGAGCCUGUCAAUAACAGGACCAGCAUAAAUGUCCAGUUGAUCGGUGUACACAACAAUUUCAUAGAACUUGGCCAUGUGUUCCAAGAAAGCAUUAACUCCAGGCCUUUUAAAUGUUCUCCAGCCUCUAUCACGCUUCCAAUCAGAGUAGAUUAGAGUUUCAUUGAGAUCCAAAACAAGAGUAAAGGGAUUCCCCAAUUCAGGAGGUAAAUCAGGAAGAAGUUUGCCAGAUAAAGGUUCUGC
RNAcentral lists this unclassified non-coding RNA (306 nucleotides) under Hevea brasiliensis (rubber tree). The record is from RNAcentral. Lineage: Eukaryota; Viridiplantae; Streptophyta; Magnoliopsida; Malpighiales; Euphorbiaceae.